AUGAAAAUGAUCCACUGUUUGAGAUUUAGCUAUUUUGUAUAAUAAUAUUUUUAUAAUAUAUAUUUAAAUGUAUAUUCUUCGUGUUAACAUUAAGGUCGAAUAAGCACAAACUGAUGAUGAUAAUAUGAUAAAUUACUGUAGUUUGGUAAGACAUCAUGCAGCUAGGCAUGUGGCUACAAUGAGUGCCGUUACCGAGUGUUUAUUUGUAAACAAUAACUUCAUCUAACUAAAAUUACCACGGUUACUAGACAGAUAACAAGAUACGAUUCUAGAGUUAGCACAUAAUAUUUCUUUAAUAUGGCCAAAUCAAUAAACAAAUUGUACAUAAAGGAAUGUGCAUGCACAAUCUGUUGCCUGGCCCCAUCGUCCAGGCUGCACUCUGGAGUACUUGCAAUUGGGACCAACAAACCCAUAAGGGACCCUUAUUUAAAGCCUAUAUGGAACCCACAUUGGCCUCACCAUUUAAUGUUGGCUGCUCUCUCUCUCUCUCUCUCUCUCUCUCUCUCUCUUCUGCUCCCUCGCUCUCUUUUACACACAUACACAUAAAUACACAUUACCAGAACAUAGAACCAAGGAAUAUUGCCCUUAAUGAACAACAAAAUGCAACCAUAUAAAAAAAUCCCAUCUGAUGACCUCAUGACAAACAGGUAGAACUUUCAACUAUCAUAAGUUUAGCUAUUAAAAAAACAAGAAAUCUAAUGAGUAUUUUAUUUUAUGUUGUUCUUGUUACAUUACAUGUACUUACUAUAAUAAUAACAAUACAUUAUUCAUCAGAGAAGGAAGAGUAUGUGUAAGAGAUGGUAGGAGAUAGAAGCAAGAAAAUGACGAAGAUCAAAUCCUUGGAGGCGGUUUCUUAGAGGCUAUGUCUACCACAAGCAUGCAGCCCCUCAGCUCUGCCCCUCCAUCCCUAUAGGCAAAAGUACACAAGCUGCGUAGGGCCCCCGAGACACCAGGGGGACCCCUUGCUCUCAAAGAUGAUAUGGAAACAAAGACAUUCUCAGUGGUAGAAUUUGCAGAUGACAAUUCUGUGGAAAUUGUCCCAACCACAUGGCUGGAGGAAACCACCAAAGGAACCAUUUGCUUUUGGACGUUUUUGAACACAAGGCAGCUGGUGAGAAAUAAAGCAUUGCUUGACAAGCAAAAGUGGAGGGCGGUUAUCAUUAAAGAAAAUUUGGCUACAAACAGACUCGUAUACCAAAGCCUUGCAAAAAUGCCAGCUUGUCACAGAAACAUCUAAUAUCGAAACAGAGGACACAACACAUAAAAAGAGGGCACACAAAAAGUCUUGGCGAUAUCAGUCAGAAUCAGGAAUCUCCUCAGAAGAUGAAAGCAGAGUUAUAAAGAAAAAAAAGUGUCAAAACCUGUUCCACCUAAAUAUCAGCCACUUCCCAAAACUUAUCCUGAAUACAAGGACAAUCGAGAAAAGCCAAGUUCUCCGGAUUUAUUCUCAGAGGCAUCAUUGCCACAGUUCUCACUGCAGAAUGUGUCACCACCCCAACAAGUUUCAGCAGUGUCACAUCUGUUAAGAGAGCCAGAGUCCUCAUCUGAUGAAGCCACAAAGAACUACCGCACAAAAGUCUUACAGAAGUUGCAAGAACUCUGUGAGAACCAGCAAGAUAUCCUUGCUAUGCAACGGAAAAUUCUGGCUGCUGUGGCUGGUAGGGGUACUCCAGGACAGGUUUGAGAAUCAGUGCUCUACGGCAGGGGUGUCCAAUCCUGCUUCUGGAGGGCCACUUUAUUUUAGCUCCUACCCUAAUUAAGCACACCUGAACCAGCUAAUCAAGGUCUUACUAUGAAUACUAGAAAGACGUGUGUUGAGUCAAGUUGGAGUUAAACUCUGCAGGAAAGUGGCCUCCAGAACCGAGUUUGAACAUUCCUGAUCUGCAGGUUUUCUGUAGGCCUUAAAAAGGUCUUAAAGCGGAGGAUCACCCCUGCCCUUUUUAUCGCCAACGGUGAACUACCUACGGUCAAUCGGGGGUUCGAAUCCAGGAGCAGCUGUUCGGAAAAUGCUGCGUAAGGUGGCAACCAAUGAGGUCCUGGGUGCAUACAGCCUUCGGGGGAAGAAAUCAAAACUAGCCUUCCAAGACCUCAGGAUUUGUUCCAUUAUUAUAGGAGCAACACAGAAGACUUUUAAAUCACUGAAUUCAGUUGAGGUGGAGGAUCGGAUUUCACUGGCCCUAAAAUUUGCCCCCCACAGGAAUUGAAAAUGAUGACUGAGGCAGAAGAAGAGAAAGACGAGUACAGAGGAAAAUGAUUAUAAACAUUUUGUAGUUAGCUAGUAGUAAUUUAUAGUUAUAGGUAAUUUAGUUAAUUUAUUUGUUCAUGCUACAUGCUUGCUUUUGUGUGUGUUUUUUAUAUAUAUUGAUAAUUAAAUGUAUUGGAAUUCGACAAUAAAACUAUGGAUAUGAA
Long non-coding RNA from Cyprinus carpio (common carp), 2409 nucleotides. RefSeq lists it as uncharacterized. The transcript has 13 exons. NCBI's taxonomy places the organism in Eukaryota, Metazoa, Chordata, Actinopteri, Cypriniformes, Cyprinidae. The record is from RefSeq and is a predicted model, not a curated record.